This 305-nucleotide ribosomal RNA is filed under the name uncultured bacterium. RNAcentral describes it as "bacterial SSU rRNA". It matches the Rfam family "Bacterial small subunit ribosomal RNA", at positions 333 to 655 of the family's 1533-position model. The record is from RNAcentral.
UGUUGCCUACGGGAGGCAGCAGUAGGGAAUAUUGCUCAAUGGGGGAAACCCUGAUGCAGCGACGCCGCGUGGGUGAAGAAGCGCCUCGGCGCGUAAAGCCCUGUCAGCAGGGAAGAAAAUGACGGUACCUGAAGAAGAAGCCCUGGCUAACUACGUGCCAGCAGCCGCGGUAAUACGUAGGGGGCAAGCGUUAUCCGGAUUUACUGGGUGUAAAGGGGGCGCAGACGGCGAUGCAAGCCAGGAGUGAAAGCCCGGGGCCCAACCCCGGGCCUGCUCUUGGAACUGCGUGGCUAGAGGGCAGGCGG